Molecule: ribosomal RNA, 253 nt
Filed under: uncultured bacterium
Lineage: Bacteria
Description: partial 16S ribosomal RNA
Rfam family: Bacterial small subunit ribosomal RNA
Source: RNAcentral
UACGUAGGGGGCAAGCGUUGUCCGGAAUCAUUGGGCGUAAAGAGCGCGUAGGCGGCCCGAUAAGUCCGCUGUGAAAGUCAAGGGCUCAACCCUUGAAUGCCGGUGGAUACUGUCGGGCUAGAGUCCGGAAGAGGCGAGUGGAAUUCCUGGUGUAGCGGUGAAAUGCGCAGAUAUCAGGAGGAACACCGGUGGCGAAGGCGGGUCUCUGGGCCGAUACUGACGCUGAGGAGCGAAAGCGUGGGGAGCGAACAGG